AUUGAACGCUGGCGGCAUGCUUUACACAUGCAAGUCGAACGGUAACAGGUCUUCGGAUGCUGACGAGUGGCGAACGGGUGAGUAAUGCAUCGGAACGUGCCCAGUCGUGGGGGAUAACGCAGCGAAAGCUGCGCUAAUACCGCAUACGAUCUCUGGAUGAAAGCUGGGGACCGUAAGGCCUCGCGCGAUUGGAGCGGCCGAUGUGAGAUAAGGUAGUUGGUGGGGUAAAGGCCCACCAAGCCAACGAUCUGUAGCUGGUCUGAGAGGACGACCAGCCACACUGGGACUGAGACACGGCCCAGACUCCUACGGGAGGCAGCCUUGCGGCAUUUUGGACAAUGGGCGCAAGCCUGCUCCCCCAAUGCCGCGUGCAGGAAGAAGGCCUUCGGGUUGUAAGCUGCUUUUGUACGGAACGAAACGGCUCUCUCUCCUACAGAGGGCUAAUGACGGUACCGUAAGAAUAAGCACCGGCUAACUACGUGCCAGCCGCCGCCGUAA
This 498-nucleotide ribosomal RNA is filed under the name uncultured bacterium. RNAcentral describes it as "partial 16S ribosomal RNA". It matches the Rfam family "Bacterial small subunit ribosomal RNA", at positions 30 to 523 of the family's 1533-position model. The record is from RNAcentral.